RNAcentral lists this long non-coding RNA (1014 nucleotides) under Felis catus (domestic cat). RNAcentral describes it as "lncRNA (ENSFCAG00000044024.2)". The record is from RNAcentral. Lineage: Eukaryota; Metazoa; Chordata; Mammalia; Carnivora; Felidae.
AGAAUGAAGGAGAGAAAAAUUGACAGGCGGUUAUUGUUAAGAAGGAACUGCAGUCCCACUAAACACCACAAGAAUCCAGCCAGGCAAAUAAACCGGGGGAAAUACUCGCUCUCCACAGGACAAAGGGUGAUAUCCUUAACAGGAAAAGAGCUCCUGCCAAAAGCUGUGGCUAGAAGCUGAUUCCUGAGCGCUCUCAGCAGCCCCUGGAAGAAGACAGAAGAGAACGACUGUGAAGGAGAGGAGACUGGAAUUCACAUACCACCGGGCAGAGCAGUGAAAAGGCACAGGCCUUGUACCCAGACUCACUGGGGUUCUGACACCAGCUCUUCUGCUCUCACUGGGCUUCCUGGGCUAAUUACUCCGCUUACCAGCCUCAGCCUUCUUAUAUACCAAUCAGAAAGAAUACUCUUUAUGUUAUUAGAUGAUUGGAAGGAUUAACUGAGACCAAAAAAUGGCACCCAUCAAGCCUUCAGCAACUGGUGACUGUUACACCUAACGUGCGCACGCGGGUGCUAGGUAGCCCACGGCCUAUGGGAGAGCGGCCAAGACGCUGCAAAUAUUUGUGAGCACGUACAAUAUUUCUGCUCCUUCUAUUCAGGAGAGGAUUCAAGGUCUCAGAGAGGCGGCCUUACCUCUUCCAUUUCAACACCCUGUGUGACUCUCAUAGAGUUUACAGUCCUGGUGGGAAAUUCAGUUAUUAUCCAGUGAGCUGUCACCCCAUACAAGGAGUACAAAGAGGUUACCUCUUCACCAUUGAUGCUGAGUUGAGCUUGGCCCUGUAUUGUUUUGGCCAAAUGGCAUGUAGGCAGUGUCUGAGUUCUGAAUCCAGGCCUGAAGAGUCAUUGCACGCUUCUGCUCAUCAUUCUGGGACUUUCCUGAUCCUGACAUGAGUCACUGUCUCCCGGCCCGGACUUCUGACUACAACCCAUGAAGGAAAUCUGCAGUCUGAAACAGGGACACCAUAACCAAUCUGCAAACCUAUGAGCAAAAAUAAAUGCCCAGUGCCAUAUGUCA